CCUACGGGAGGCUGCAGUAGGGAAUUUUCGUCAAUGGGCGCAAGCCUGAACGAGCGAUGCCGCGUGAGUGAAGAAGGCCUUCGGGUCGGAAAGCUCUGUUGCGGGGGAAAAAAGGCAGCAUCAGGAAAUGGGUGCUGACUGAUGGUGCCCCGCCAGAAAGUCACGGUUAACUCCGUGCCAGCAGCCGAGGUAAUACGUAGGUGGCGAGCGUUAUCCGGCAUGGUUGGGCGUGAAGGGUGCGCAGGUGGUCCUGCAAGUCUGGAGUGAAACGCAUGGGCUCAACUCAUGCAUGGCUUUGGAAACUGGAGGACUGGAGAGCAGGAGAGGGCGGUGGAACGCCAUGUGUAGCGGUAAAAUGCAUAGAUAUAUGGAAGAACACCAGUGGCGAAGGCGGCCGCCUGGCCUGUUGCUGACGCUGAGGCACGAAAGCGUGGGGAGCAAAUAGGAUUAGAUAUCCGUGUAGUC
This 465-nucleotide ribosomal RNA is filed under the name uncultured bacterium. RNAcentral's name for it is "partial 16S ribosomal RNA". It matches the Rfam family "Bacterial small subunit ribosomal RNA", at positions 338 to 795 of the family's 1533-position model. The record is from RNAcentral.